This 496-nucleotide ribosomal RNA is filed under the name uncultured bacterium. Its description in RNAcentral is "bacterial SSU rRNA". It matches the Rfam family "Bacterial small subunit ribosomal RNA", at positions 903 to 1397 of the family's 1533-position model. The record is from RNAcentral.
AAAGGAAUUGACGGGGGCCCGCACAAGCAGCGGAGCAUGUGGUUUAAUUCGACGCAACGCGAAAAACCUUACCAGGGCUUGACAUCCUAUAGACGCGGCGGAAACGCCGCGGUGCUCGCAAGAGAAUAUAGAGACAGGUGGUGCAUGGUUGUCGUCAGCUCGUGUCGUGAGAUGUUGGGUUAAGUCCCGCAACGAGCGCAACCCUUAUGAUCAGUUACCAGCGGGAAAGCCGGGGACUCUGAUGAGACUGCCGUGGAUAACACGGAGGAAGGUGGGGACGACGUCAAAUCAUCAUGCUCCUUAUGUCCUGGGCUACACACGUGCUACAAUGGCCGUUACAAAGGGCAGCGAACCCGCAAGGGGGAGCGAAACCUAAAAAAGCGGUCUCAGUUCGGAUUGUGGGCUGCAACCCGCCCACAUGAAGUCGGAGUUGCUAGUAAUCGCGAAUCAGCAUGUCGCGGUGAAUGCGUUCCCGGGCCUUGUACACACCGCCCGU